UACGGGGGGGGCAAGCGUUGUUCGGAAUUACUGGGCGUAAAGGGCUCGUAGGCGGCCAACUAAGUCAGACGUGAAAUCCCCAGGCUCAACCUGGGAACUGCGUCUGAUACUGGAUGGCUUGAAUCCGGGAGAGGGAUGCAGAAUUCCAGGUGUAGCGGUGAAAUGCGCAGAUAUCAGGAGGAACACCGAUGGCGAAGGCAGGUCUCUGGGCCGAUACUGACGCUGAGGAGCGAAAGCGUGGGGAGCGAACAGG
RNAcentral lists this ribosomal RNA (253 nucleotides) under uncultured bacterium. RNAcentral describes it as "partial 16S ribosomal RNA". It matches the Rfam family "Bacterial small subunit ribosomal RNA", at positions 524 to 776 of the family's 1533-position model. The record is from RNAcentral.